RNAcentral lists this transfer RNA (72 nucleotides) under Ovis aries (sheep). It matches the Rfam family "tRNA". From Rfam's summary of the family: Transfer RNA (tRNA) molecules are approximately 80 nucleotides in length. Their secondary structure includes four short double-helical elements and three loops (D, anti-codon, and T loops). The record is from Rfam by way of RNAcentral. Lineage: Eukaryota; Metazoa; Chordata; Mammalia; Artiodactyla; Bovidae.
UCCCUGGUGGCUCAGAAGGUAAAGCAUUUGCCUGCAAUGCAAGAGACACGGGUUCAAUCCCUGGGUUGGGAG